GUGGGGAAUAUUGGACAAUGGGGGGAACCCUGAUCCAGCCAUGCCGCGUGUGUGAAGAAGGCCUUUUGGUUGUAAAGCACUUUAAGCGAGGAGGAGGCUACCGAGAUUAAUACUCUUGGAUAGUGGACGUUACUCGCAGAAUAAGCACCGGCUAACUCUGUGCCAGCAGCCGCGGUAAUACAGAGGGUGCAAGCGUUAAUCGGAUUUACUGGGCGUAAAGCGCGCGUAGGUGGCCAAUUAAGUCAAAUGUGAAAUCCCCGAGCUUAACUUGGGAAUUGCAUUCGAUACUGGUUGGCUAGAGUAUGGGAGAGGAUGGUAGAAUUCCAGGUGUAGCGGUGAAAUGCGUAGAGAUCUGGAGGAAUACCGAUGGCGAAGGCAGCCAUCUGGCCUAAUACUGACACUGAGGUGCGAAAGCAUGGGGAGCUAACAGGAUUAGAUACCCGGGUAGUCC
This 451-nucleotide ribosomal RNA is filed under the name uncultured bacterium. RNAcentral's name for it is "bacterial SSU rRNA". It matches the Rfam family "Bacterial small subunit ribosomal RNA", at positions 354 to 796 of the family's 1533-position model. The record is from RNAcentral.